Molecule: ribosomal RNA, 441 nt
Filed under: uncultured bacterium
Lineage: Bacteria
Description: partial 16S ribosomal RNA
Rfam family: Bacterial small subunit ribosomal RNA
Source: RNAcentral
CCUACGGGAGGCAGCAGUGGGGAAUAUUGCACAAUGGGGGGAACCCUGAUGCAGCGACGCCGCGUGGGUGAUGGAGUCUUUCGGUAUGUAAAGCCCUAUCAGCAGGGAAGAACAAUGACGGUACCUGACUAAGCAGCACCGGCUAAAUACGUGCCAGCAGCCGCGGUAAUACGUAAGGUGCAAGCGUUAUCCGGAUUUACUGGGUCUAAAGGGAGCGCAUGCGGGGGGUUGAGCCUGGUGUGAAAGUCCGCGGCCCAACCGCGGGACUGCAUUGGGAACUGGAGCGCUGGAGUGCAGUAGGGGUAGGCGGAAUUCGUAGUGUAGCGGUGAAAUGCGUAGAUAUUAGGAGGAACACCAGUGGCGAAGGCAGCCUAUUGGACGGUGACUGACGCUGAGGCUCGAAAGCGUGGGGAGCAAACAGGAUUAGAUACCCGAGUAGUC